RNAcentral lists this long non-coding RNA (312 nucleotides) under Manacus vitellinus (golden-collared manakin). RNAcentral describes it as "lncRNA (ENSMVIG00005017155.1)". Lineage: Eukaryota; Metazoa; Chordata; Aves; Passeriformes; Pipridae. The record is from RNAcentral.
CUCUGAAUUUCCAUUUGCUUUUGAGGGCUGCAAAGUGAUGGAGAGAUUUGAGAGACUGAUCAGUUUUCCUGAAUCAGAGCUCACUCUCCAAGCAGCUGCAACAGAUGUUUCUGGAUUAUACUGAGCAGCCAGAGCAUGAAAAAAAAUCCUGUGUAGGAACAGAAACAGGAGAAAAUGAUGGUACUUGACUCCAGGAAAAUAAACCCAGAACUUGACAGAUUCAGGUGUGAGCUCUGGUCCACGUUUUCCAGCUGCUCAGUGCAAACCCACAGCUCGAGCACAGAAGGAAAAGGCACCAGGAGCAUGUGGAUG